Molecule: ribosomal RNA, 253 nt
Filed under: uncultured bacterium
Lineage: Bacteria
Description: partial 16S ribosomal RNA
Rfam family: Bacterial small subunit ribosomal RNA
Source: RNAcentral
UACGUAGGGGGCAAGCGUUGUCCGGAAUCAUUGGGCGUAAAGCGCGUGUAGGCGGCCCGAUAAGUCCGCUGUGAAAGUCCAGGGCUCAACCCUGGAAUGCCGGUGGAUACUGUCGGGCUAGAGUCCGGAAGAGGCGAGUGGAAUUCCUGGUGUAGCGGUGAAAUGCGCAGAUAUCAGGAGGAACACCAAUUGCGAAGGCAGCUCGCUGGGACGUUACUGACGCUGAGACGCGAAAGCGUGGGGAGCAAACAGG